This 508-nucleotide ribosomal RNA is filed under the name Cafius luteipennis. RNAcentral describes it as "partial 16S ribosomal RNA". It matches the Rfam family "Bacterial large subunit ribosomal RNA", at positions 1893 to 2597 of the family's 2925-position model. The record is from RNAcentral. Lineage: Eukaryota; Metazoa; Arthropoda; Insecta; Coleoptera; Staphylinidae.
GUCUUUUUGUUUAUAAUUUAAAGUCUAACCUGCCCACUGAAUUUUUAAAGGCCGCGGUAUUUUGACCGUGCGAAGGUAGCAUAAUAAUUAGUUUUUUAAUUGAAAGCUGGAAUGAAUGGUUGAACGAGGGAAUAGCUGUCUCUAUAUUAUUUUAUUAGAAUUUUAUUUUUAAGUUAAAAAGCUUAAAUAAUUUUAAAAGACGAGAAGACCCUAUAGAUUUUUAUAAAUUUCUUUUUUAAGGGGGGUUAGUAAUGGUUUACUUUAAUUGAGAAAUUUUAUUUUGUUGGGGUGAUGAAAAAAUUUGAGAAACUUUUUUUAUAUAUAAACAUUGAUUUAUGAUUUAGUGAUCCAUAUUUUAUGAUUAUAAGAUUAAAUUACCUUAGGGAUAACAGCGUAAUUUUUUCUGAGAGUUCUUAUCGAAGAAGAAGAUUGCGACCUCGAUGUUGGAUUAAAAUUUAUACUUGGUGUAGAAGCUGAGCUAUUAGGUCUGUUCGACCUUUAAAAUUUU